GACGUAGGGCGCGAGCGUUGUCCGGAUUUAUUGGGCGUAAAGAGCUCGUAGGCGGCUUGUCGCGUCACUGUGAAAAACCCCGAGGCUCAACUUCGGGGCUUGCAGUCGAUACGGGCAGACUAGAGUGUGGUAGGGGGAGACUGGAAUUCCUGGUGUAGCGGUGAAAUGCGCAGAUAUCAGGAGGAACACCGGUGGCGAAGGCGGGUCUCUGGGCAGUAACUACGCUGAGGAGCGAAAAGCGUGGGGGAGCGAACAGG
This 257-nucleotide ribosomal RNA is filed under the name uncultured bacterium. Its description in RNAcentral is "partial 16S ribosomal RNA". It matches the Rfam family "Bacterial small subunit ribosomal RNA", at positions 524 to 776 of the family's 1533-position model. The record is from RNAcentral.